Molecule: small nucleolar RNA, 86 nt
Organism: Pseudophryne corroboree (corroboree frog)
Lineage: Eukaryota; Metazoa; Chordata; Amphibia; Anura; Myobatrachidae
Product: small nucleolar RNA snR60/Z15/Z230/Z193/J17
Exons: 1
Source: RefSeq, a predicted model, not a curated record
AAAACACAAUGAUGAGCACAUACAGUAGUUCAGCAGAUGGACAGUGGUGAUUAGAGCUUGUCUUUCGCUCCUAUAUGAUGUGUUUU